This 414-nucleotide long non-coding RNA is filed under the name Macaca mulatta (Rhesus monkey). RNAcentral describes it as "lncRNA (ENSMMUG00000061913.1)". The record is from RNAcentral. Lineage: Eukaryota; Metazoa; Chordata; Mammalia; Primates; Cercopithecidae.
CGCGGCCACACCCCUGUCUACUUCCAUGUCCAAUAGGUGCGAGAGGGCGGGGCAGCCUCGUUCUGACUGGGGAGGCUAUAUAAGGAGCUACUGGUUGCGCGUCUCGGUCUUUUACGUAGGCCUUCGUGAUCGUUUGGUUGUGUGGAACAAUGGCGCUGUCAUGGCCCAGCAGAGCAGCUCUGAAGAUGCAAAGAUACAUGAAAGAAUUCCAGAAUAUGCGGGAGAAUAUUUAAUGGAAAACCGCUUGGUUAAACCUGACACUCUUCAUGGCAUUCUGGGUGUGGACGAUCAGCCAGUGAAGAUAAUGAAUGUCGGAUGUCACUGACUAGCAGCUUCAUUUUGAAUGAGGGUCGCUGUCUGCCCAUUGAUAAGAGGCCAGAUUGUCUUGGAAGUUCCAAAGUUGCAACUAUUUCU